RNAcentral lists this ribosomal RNA (701 nucleotides) under Escherichia coli. RNAcentral describes it as "partial 23S ribosomal RNA". It matches the Rfam family "Bacterial large subunit ribosomal RNA", at positions 2221 to 2916 of the family's 2925-position model. Lineage: Bacteria; Pseudomonadati; Pseudomonadota; Gammaproteobacteria; Enterobacterales; Enterobacteriaceae. The record is from RNAcentral.
UCUAACGUGGACCCGUAAUCCGGGUUGCGGACAGUGUCUGGUGGGUAGUUUGACUGGGGCGGUCUCCUCCUAAAGAGUAACGGAGGAGCACGAAGGUUGGCUAAUCCUGGUCGGACAUCAGGAGGUUAGUGCAAUGGCAUAAGCCAGCUUGACUGCGAGCGUGACGGCGCGAGCAGGUGCGAAAGCAGGUCAUAGUGAUCCGGUGGUUCUGAAUGGAAGGGCCAUCGCUCAACGGAUAAAAGGUACUCCGGGGAUAACAGGCUGAUACCGCCCAAGAGUUCAUAUCGACGGCGGUGUUUGGCACCUCGAUGUCGGCUCAUCACAUCCUGGGGCUGAAGUAGGUCCCAAGGGUAUGGCUGUUCGCCAUUUAAAGUGGUACGCGAGCUGGGUUUAGAACGUCGUGAGACAGUUCGGUCCCUAUCUGCCGUGGGCGCUGGAGAACUGAGGGGGGCUGCUCCUAGUACGAGAGGACCGGAGUGGACGCAUCACUGGUGUUCGGGUUGUCAUGCCAAUGGCACUGCCCGGUAGCUAAAUGCGGAAGAGAUAAGUGCUGAAAGCAUCUAAGCACGAAACUUGCCCCGAGAUGAGUUCUCCCUGACUCCUUGAGAGUCCUGAAGGAACGUUGAAGACGACGACGUUGAUAGGCCGGGUGUGUAAGCGCAGCGAUGCGUUGAGCUAACCGGUACUAAUGAACCGUGAGG